UCAAGGCCCAGAACUCACUCAGCUCUUCCCCAGGAGGAACAAGCCCUGAAUCAGGUGCAGUGCUGCCUGCCCCACUGUGCCAUGGGCCCCGGGCUCCUUUGCUGGGUGCUGCUUUGUCUCCUAGGAGAAGGCCCAGUGGACGCUGGAGUCACCCAAAGUCCCACACACCUGAUCAAAAUGAGAGGACAGCACGUGACUCUGAGAUGCUCUCCUAUCUCUGGGCACACCAGUGUGUCCUGGUACCAACAGGCCCUGGGUCAGGGGCCCCAGUUUAUCUUUGAGUAUUAUGAGAAAGAAGAGAGAGGAAGAGGAAUCUUCCCUGAUCGAUUCUCAGCUCGCCAGUUCCCUAACUAUAGCUCUGAGCUGAAUGUGAACCCCUUGUUGAUGGGGGACUCAGCCCUGUAUCUCUGUGCCAGCAGCUUGGCACAGCCCAGCGGAGUCACUGACAUUCUGUAUAUAAACUUCCUGCCUUAG
This is a non-coding RNA of Gorilla gorilla gorilla (western lowland gorilla), 474 nucleotides long. The record is from the annotation of a RefSeq genome assembly. NCBI's taxonomy places the organism in Eukaryota, Metazoa, Chordata, Mammalia, Primates, Hominidae.